GGCUACACCCAGCCAAUGGGCCACACCCACCUGGCACCCGAUGAUGCAUAAGUGGGUUUUGGGUUGCAGUUUGGGCACUUGGUCUCUAAAAGGUUCACCAUCACUGGCAUAGGGGAUAACUUGAAUCCAGACCAUGUCCAUCAUUUUAUAUUAUAACUGAGCAUCUUUUCAAAAUUCUGACCCGGCACUAGAACUGCUCCUUCGAAGGGAAGGGAGAAACUCAAUGGGGCCAGUGAAACCACAUAUCAUCUCUGGGACCUUCUGUAAUGGCUAGUUGUUGUUCAAGCAUGGAAAGGAUCAUGCAAGGUAUUGCUCUAAGACUGAAAGGUAUCCGUGUCUAACCUGAUUGGAACAUCCUUUAUUAACAAUAUCUGGACAAAGUGUUUGCUUCAGCAUCUCCCAACACCUUCAGGGAAUUAUAGGAUUAGGCUUCAUCCCUCACCAACUACCUAAUUUGCAAUUCACAGACUGAAUCUGUUCUCUGCAACUCAACCGUCCUGGAAGACGGAACAUCCUGUCAUGUUAGGACACUUGGAUAUCUCAUCCGGCGGCAAUCAAGCAGAUGAAGGCAUGGAACGCUCUGGAUAUUACAACUCGAAGUUUGCAAAGAUGCGGAGAUGUACAGUUGGAUAAGCACGAUUGCAAAAAAAAAAAAAAGAAUGCACAUUAUGCCUUAUGGAACAAAGCCAUCAUAUGCAUUAGAAAUUCCUCAAAGUCUCUUUUGGGGAAAUAAAUGUCAUACAAGGAAUUACACUUUUCAGACAAAGAAAAAGGGAUCAUGUCGGCCAUUCCAAGCCAGAGGAAAACUUAAUGGUGCUCAAACUUUCUACCCCUACUCAAGGCAACAGGAAUGUUUGCAAUGCAUAUGGAGUGGCGCAGGAGAUGUUUCUUUACCCUUCAAAUUCCACUGGUGCUAAGCUCCUGCUCUCCUGAAUUAUCAGAAGCAAAAAGGUCCCUGAUCAGAUCUGUUUAUACAGCUCUUCCCCCAAAAUGGAGUUGGGCAGCCAAUCAAUCAAUAAACAAACUUAUUCUCAAGAUAAUUCAAACUUACUAUCUUGAUAGUUCAACCUACAUGUACAGUAUAUUUCACCUUUGGGGAUAUUCCUUGAAAUAAGCAGUAAAACAUUUUCUGGGAUCAUGUGAUGCUUUCAACCGUUCUAAUUUUGGCCAACAUUUUUACUUCACUACUUCUGUUGCAAAGCCAUAUUGAUGAAUGGGAACUGCAAAGAAACCUCACUAUGUUGUAUGGAUGUACAUCUUUGUGGACCAUCGGGCAGAGUCACAACGUCGCUAUCAUUUCCUACAACCCAGAUAGUUUCAGGAAUUCUAUUUUGGGAUUACUGGUGAGCGAGCUACCUUCUGAGAGCAUUUGUUCACCAUUACCAGUAACAGGUGUUCCUUGACUUACAUUUCUGUUGCCAAGCGAGACAAUUGUUAAGCGAGUUUAGCUCUAUUUUACACUUUUCUUGCCACAGUCAUUAAGCAAAACACUGCAGAUGUUAAGUUACUAACACGGAUGUUAAGUGAAUCUAGCUUCCCCAUUGAAUUUGCUUGUCAGAAGGUCCGCAAAAGGGGGUCACACGCUUAUAAGCGUGAAAAACAAUUAUAGGUCACUUUUUUCAUUGCUGUUGUAACUUUGAAUGGUCACUAACAAAAUGGUUGUAAGCUAAGAACCAUCUGUACUUUCAUUGUGGAACACCCAAACAGCUGGGUGGCAGGUGACUUUCAUUAUAUGUAAAGAAAUAUUUUUGUUAAUUUUGAACUGAACACUCCUGCAUUGUCAUAUUUCCACUAUGAUAAAGCUUUAUUCUAUGUACUGUUCCAUAAAGUACUGUACAUUUAUAGUUGCACAAUUUGUCACUUAUGAGUGUAGAAUUUUACUACCAUUUGGUGCUACCUUUUUCUCCCUUUGUGAUUUAAAGCAAUGGUUUGCAGCUGAAUAUGGAUAUUUUAUUCUAAUACAAGGCAAUAAUGGAAUGUUAGGUUGUUCACUAGAGAGCAAACAUGUAUAUAUGCUUUAAAAACAAUUAGAUAUGAACUAUAGUCAAGAUAAUAUUUCUAAUUCUUUUUCCUGGUGCUGGCUAAAAUUGGUCAAAGAAAUACAGUCAAGCUGAAUAAAACCAACUGUAAUUUAAAAAAAAAGUAAUUCCACUCUGGAAAUGAGAGAAGCUUCAUUGUGUUUGAAAUAAAUAUUAAUAUUAAAAAUAAAUAAAUGUAUUUUUUCCAAAAUUUCAA
Molecule: long non-coding RNA, 2235 nt
Organism: Crotalus tigris (Tiger rattlesnake)
Lineage: Eukaryota; Metazoa; Chordata; Lepidosauria; Squamata; Viperidae
Exons: 2
Source: RefSeq, a predicted model, not a curated record